UACGUAGGGGGCAAGCGUUGUCCGGAAUUAUUGGGCGUAAAGAGCUCGUAGGCGGUUCAGUAAGUCGGGUGUGAAACCCCCAGGCUCAACCUGGGGACGCCACCCGAUACUGCUGUGACUAGAGUCCAGUAGGGGAGUGUGGAAUUCCCGGUGUAGCGGUGAAAUGCGCAGAUAUCCGGAGGAACACCGGUGGCGAAGGCGGCUUCCUGGACCGAUACUGACGCUGAGGCGCGAAAGCUAGGGGAGCAAACGGG
RNAcentral lists this ribosomal RNA (254 nucleotides) under uncultured bacterium. Its description in RNAcentral is "partial 16S ribosomal RNA". It matches the Rfam family "Bacterial small subunit ribosomal RNA", at positions 524 to 776 of the family's 1533-position model. The record is from RNAcentral.